GGCCUGCCCCAUGAAAAUUUAAAUGGCCGCGGUAUUUUGACCGUGCAAAGGUAGCAUAAUUAUUAGUUUUUUAAUUGAAAGCUGGAAUGAAAGGUUGGAUGAGAAAAUAACCGUCUCUGUUUAAAUUAGUUAGAAUUUUAUUUUUAAGUAAAAAAGCUUAAAUAAUUAUAGAAGACGAGAAGACCCUAUAGAGUUUUAAUUUAGUUGGGGUGAUUGAAAAAUUAAAUUAACUUUUUUUAUAUUUAAACAUUAAUAUAUGAGUGAUUGAUCCUUUAUUUAAGAUUAAAAGAAAAAAUUACCUUAGGGAUAACAGCGUAAUUUUUUUAGAGAGUUCUAAUCGAAAAAAAAGAUUGCGACCUCGAUGUUGGAUUAAAAUUAA
Molecule: ribosomal RNA, 379 nt
Filed under: Rhyncogonus stellaris
Lineage: Eukaryota; Metazoa; Arthropoda; Insecta; Coleoptera; Curculionidae
Description: partial 16S ribosomal RNA
Rfam family: Archaeal large subunit ribosomal RNA
Source: RNAcentral